Molecule: ribosomal RNA, 496 nt
Filed under: uncultured bacterium
Lineage: Bacteria
Description: partial 16S ribosomal RNA
Rfam family: Bacterial small subunit ribosomal RNA
Source: RNAcentral
AUGAACGCUGGCGGCGUGCCUCAUACAUGCAAGUCGCGCGAACAGACGAGGAGCUUGCUCCUCUGACGUUAGCGGCGGACGGGUGAGUAACACGUGGCUAACCUACCUAUAAGACUGGGAUAACUUCGGGAAACCGUAGCUAAUACCGGAUAAUAUAUUUAACCGCAUGGUUCAAUAGUAAAAGACGGUUUUGCUGUCACUUAUCGAUGGAUCCGCCCCUCAUUAGCUAGUUGGUAAGGUAACCGCUUACUAAGGCAACGAUGCGAAGCCGACCUGAGAGGAUGAUCGGCAACACUAGGACUGAGAAGCGGUCAAAGGUCCUGCGGGAGACGGCAGUAGGGAAUCUGCAGAAAUGGGCGAAAGCAUGACGAAGCAACGCGGCGAAGGUGAUGAAAGUCAUCGUGUUGUAAAACUCUAUUAUUAGGAAGGAAGAAAUGUGGAAUGAACUAAGCACGUCUUGACGGUACCGGAUCAGAAAGGCACGGGUAACAACGUG